This 119-nucleotide ribosomal RNA is filed under the name Pteropus alecto (black flying fox). Lineage: Eukaryota; Metazoa; Chordata; Mammalia; Chiroptera; Pteropodidae. The record is from RNAcentral.
UGCUACAGCCUUGUCAUCCUGAACACGCGGGAUCCCGUCUGAUCUCGGAAGCUAAACAGGGUUGAACCUGGUUAGUACUUGGAUGGGAGACCACCUAGGAAGAGCAGGUGCUGUAGGCA